Molecule: long non-coding RNA, 553 nt
Organism: Brassica napus (rape)
Lineage: Eukaryota; Viridiplantae; Streptophyta; Magnoliopsida; Brassicales; Brassicaceae
Exons: 3
Source: RefSeq, a predicted model, not a curated record
UCUGAACUCUACUCGUGUGAUCUCCUCCACAUCACUUCCUUGAUCAUCAUCUGCUUCUUGUCGUGGCUGUUGAUGGAGCUGUGGUUUGAUUCCGUUUGCUGGGAGUCCGCAAAACAGAAAAGAACAGUAAAGGGACACAACAUAGACAUAGCGGCUACACAAAACCAAGCUCUGGAUCGAGAUCUAACCUGUAACUAAGAGAUUUGCAAGACCUGCAAAUUUUUUUUUUUUUAAAUAGAAGGAUGGAUGCAAUUUGUUAAACGACAUAGAAGUUUAGAUUCUCUCAUAAACGACAUAGAAAUUUAGAUUGUCUCAUACAAAAGAUCAAAUCUGAAAGAAGACAGCUUUGAAAGAUUCAAUAUUUAAACCAUAUAUUUCAGAACAAGAUCCAAAAAGAACAAACUUUCAUAAGAAAAUGAAAAAUGUCUUCUUACAGUUCUUUUUCCAGAUACAGCAGAAAACGACUAGACAAUCUAAAAGGAUAAAACUUUGCCUUUCCUUUGCAACCAUAUAUCAAAAGCUGAAAGCCCUUCUUCAAUGUAAUCAAUGCCUG